This 465-nucleotide ribosomal RNA is filed under the name Vreelandella stevensii. RNAcentral's name for it is "partial 16S ribosomal RNA". It matches the Rfam family "Bacterial small subunit ribosomal RNA", at positions 338 to 795 of the family's 1533-position model. Lineage: Bacteria; Pseudomonadati; Pseudomonadota; Gammaproteobacteria; Oceanospirillales; Halomonadaceae. The record is from RNAcentral.
CCUACGGGGCGCAGCAGUGGGGAAUAUUGGACAAUGGGCGAAAGCCUGAUCCAGCCAUGCCGCGUGUGUGAAGAAGGCCUUCGGGUUGUAAAGUACUUUCAGUGGGGAAGAAAGCCUUGGGGCUAAUACCCUCGAGGAAGGACAUCACCCACAGAAGAAGCACCGGCUAACUCCGUGCCAGCAGCCGCGGUAAUACGGAGGGUGCGAGCGUUAAUCGGAAUUACUGGGCGUAAAGCGCGCGUAGGCGGUCUGAUAAGCCGGUUGUGAAAGCCCCGGGCUCAACCUGGGAACGGCAUCCGGAACUGUCAGGCUAGAGUGCAGGAGAGGAAGGUAGAAUUCCCGGUGUAGCGGUGAAAUGCGUAGAGAUCGGGAGGAAUACCAGUGGCGAAGGCGGCCUUCUGGACUGACACUGACGCUGAGGUGCGAAAGCGUGGGUAGCAAACAGGAUUAGAUACCCGGGUAGUC